RNAcentral lists this long non-coding RNA (1447 nucleotides) under Spirodela polyrhiza (greater duckweed). RNAcentral describes it as "long non-coding RNA (SPOL_LNC000200)". Lineage: Eukaryota; Viridiplantae; Streptophyta; Magnoliopsida; Alismatales; Araceae. The record is from RNAcentral.
AGUCCCCACCACCUCCAUCUCCUUCACCACCUCCUCCUUACUACUACAAGUCACCUCCUCCCCCUUCGCCUUCUCCCCCACCCCCCUACUACUACAAGUCGCCUCCACCGCCGGCGAAGUCUCCGCCAGCACAUUACUACUACAAAUCUCCUCCACCACCAUCACCGUCACCGCCAGUUUACUACUACAAGUCUCCACCGCCUCCCACAAAGCUGCCACCCCCAUACUACUACAAGUCCCCCCCUCCGCCCCACCACCACUAUGAGCAUGCCGUCAAGGUUAUCGGAAAGGUCUACUGCUACAGGUGCUACGACUGGGACCACAGCAUCAAGUCUCACGGGAAGAAACACCUCAAAGGUAUUCUAAUCCUCUUACCCCCCGAGUAAACUGCGAUAAAAGUAUACUUCUCUCUCAUUUCCUCUUUGAAAAUUUUCUUGACGAUGAGUUCCAGACAUUGAAGAUUAACUUUGUGGGUCAGAACCAGUAAUCUUCGGUCUCUCUUUGAAAAACUAGCUUCUGUUGAUGAACAAACGAACGAGUGAAGUUGGCAGACAUGCUGACGCUUCCGAUAUAUUUAAAUAAUAGGAACCGACAGAUUAGCGGAGAUUUCUAGAAUAGAUAACUAAAUGGGGCUUCGGGCUUGUUUUUAAUAAGAUCUACGAUAAACAUGCGUGCAGGUGCGGUGGUGAAGGUGACCUGCGUGGAUGGGUACAAGGAGAUCGUCGCCUACGGGAAGACGAAGAGCAACGGCAAGUACAGCAUCUCCGUCAAGGGCUACGACUACUGGAAGUAUGGCGCCAAGCAUUGCAAGGCAGAACUGCACGCCGCACCUAAAGGAUCCGUUUGCAACAUUCCCACUGACCUUAACGGUGGCAAGAAGGGAGCCAAGCUCCACGUGAAGUCCGAAUCCUAUGGCCUGGUUGUCCUCAAGGCUAAGCCUUUCGCAUACGCCCCUAAGAAGCCGUACAAGGAGUGUGAGAAGCCCAAGCCCAAGCCCCCUGUCUACUAUUACAAAUCACCACCUCCCCCAACUCCAACAUACUACUACAAGUCACCGCCUCCCCCUACUCCCACCUACUAUUACAAGUCGCCGCCUCCCCCAACGCCCACAUAUCACUACAAAUCGCCACCACCUCCCACACCCACAUACUACUACAAGUCGCCUCCUCCCCCAAAGCCCACAUACUACUACAAAUCGCCUCCUCCUCCCACUCCUACAUACUACUACAAGUCACCACCUCCCCCGACUCCAACCUACUACUACAAGUCACCCCCGCCCCCAAAACCCACAUACUACUACAAGUCGCCUCCUCCUCCCACUCCAACUUACAAGUACAAGUCACCCCCUCCCCCCAAACCCACAUACUACUACAAGUCGCCGCCUCCUCCUACUCCCAAAUACUACUACAAGUCGCCACCUCCUCCUACCCCCACUUACUAUUACCNN